This 354-nucleotide ribosomal RNA is filed under the name Listeria monocytogenes. RNAcentral describes it as "bacterial LSU rRNA". It matches the Rfam family "Bacterial large subunit ribosomal RNA", at positions 1552 to 1905 of the family's 2925-position model. Lineage: Bacteria; Bacillati; Bacillota; Bacilli; Caryophanales; Listeriaceae. The record is from RNAcentral.
AAGCAUGAGCUGUGAUGGGGAAGGAAAUUAAGUACGGAAGUUCCUGAUUUCACGCUGUCAAGAAAAGCCUCUAGGAAGAGUAGUACUGCCCGUACCGCAAACCGACACAGGUAGAUGAGGAGAGAAUCCUAAGGUGAGCGAGAGAACUCUCGUUAAGGAACUCGGCAAAAUGACCCCGUAACUUCGGGAGAAGGGGUGCUCUAUUAGGGUGCAAGCCCGAGAGAGCCGCAGUGAAUAGGCCCAGGCGACUGUUUAGCAAAAACACAGGUCUCUGCAAAACCGUAAGGUGACGUAUAGGGGCUGACGCCUGCCCGGUGCUGGAAGGUUAAGAGGAGUGCUUAGCUUCGGCGAAGG